CCUACGGUGGCAGCAGUGGGGAAUAUUGGACAAUGGGCGAAAGCCUGAUCCAGCCAUGCCGCGUGUAUGAAGAAGGCCUUCGGGUUGUAAAGCACUUUCAGUGGGGAAGAAAGCCUUGGGGCUAAUACCCUCGAGGAAGGACAUCACCCACAGAAGAAGCACCGGCUAACUCCGUGCCAGCAGCCGCGGUAAUACGGAGGGUGCGAGCGUUAAUCGGAAUUACUGGGCGUAAAGCGCGCGUAGGCGGUCUGAUAAGCCGGUUGUGAAAGCCCCGGGCUCAACCUGGGAACGGCAUCCGGAACUGUCAGGCUAGAGUGCAGGAGAGGAAGGUAGAAUUCCCGGUGUAGCGGUGAAAUGCGUAGAGAUCGGGAGGAAUACCAGUGGCGAAGGCGGCCUUCUGGACUGACACUGACGCUGAGGUGCGAAAGCGUGGGUAGCAAACAGGAUUAGAUACCCCAGUAGUC
This 464-nucleotide ribosomal RNA is filed under the name Vreelandella stevensii. Its description in RNAcentral is "partial 16S ribosomal RNA". It matches the Rfam family "Bacterial small subunit ribosomal RNA", at positions 338 to 795 of the family's 1533-position model. The record is from RNAcentral. Lineage: Bacteria; Pseudomonadati; Pseudomonadota; Gammaproteobacteria; Oceanospirillales; Halomonadaceae.